UACAGAGGUCUCAAGCGUUGUUCGGAUUCAUUGGGCGUAAAGGGUGCGUAGGUGGCGCGAUAAGUCGGGUGUGAAAUCUCGGAGCUUAACUCCGAAAUUGCAUUCGAUACUGCCGUGCUUGAGGACUGGAGAGGAGACUGGAAUUUACGGUGUAGCGGUGAAAUGCGUAGAUAUCGUAAGGAAGACCAGUGGCGAAGGCGGGUCUCUGGACAGUUCCUGACGCUGAGGCACGAAGGCCAGGGGAGCAAACGGG
Molecule: ribosomal RNA, 253 nt
Filed under: uncultured bacterium
Lineage: Bacteria
Description: partial 16S ribosomal RNA
Rfam family: Bacterial small subunit ribosomal RNA
Source: RNAcentral